This 116-nucleotide small nucleolar RNA is filed under the name Caenorhabditis briggsae. Its description in RNAcentral is "snoRNA CBG29654". Lineage: Eukaryota; Metazoa; Nematoda; Chromadorea; Rhabditida; Rhabditidae. The record is from RNAcentral.
AUGCAAUGAUAUUCUGUAAACGACGACGUCUCAUCUCAAUCCAAAUGAUACUGUAUUAACGGAAUACACGGUCGGAUGGGGACAUGGGCGAGUGUCUAAUCUUCUCUCUGAGCAUU